CGGCACGCACAUGCAAAAGGGCUUUUUUAUUUUUUUUCUUUAAAGAAAAAAGCUGCUUCCUAAGGCUUGUGCAACAGACGCCUGCCCACUAGGAAGCGAAACAAAAUCGCCGCAGUCUUUUCAAGCAUCAGCUGACGGAAAGUCUGGAUGUCCUGCCCUUGCCCUGGGAUAACUCCGCCACUGGGUUAAACUCAAGCCGCCUCCCGCACCUCCCUGUUCGCUAGCGAAACGCUGGCUGGAGGUGGAACGGGCACAAGGCGCUCCGCGAGCGGCAAGGCCAGCGGGAAGCACGCGCAAAGCGAUACAGCGGAGCGGAGAACGGCGAGCCCGUGCCCUUGCCAGGCGGCAACCAGGCGCGCAGCAGCGGAGGCUGUCGCAGCCGCAGGGCUGCAUCGUGACGGCGGCGCARCCCAGCCCAGCGGAGCCUUUCCCGCGGGCGCUGCGCGUUUCACAGCGGGGUCGCGGCUGCAGCCCGCGGCUGGAGCUGCCCCCGGCGCUCCUUCCUCGGGGCGGGUCAACGCCGAGGCCGCUCCCGUGCGGCGCAAAGCGUGCAGCAGACGAAGCUCUCCGGCACGGUGAGCAUGGGAAAGUUUCAGUCGUGAAUGGUUUAAGGCAGUCGGCAGCUAAAGACCARGGGAUCUCUGCUUUAUAUAUAGUCGUGCCUUCCUUUCUGCUCAAGAUCACGCUCUAUAAAUACCUUCAAGGUAACGGUAUAAAUGAAGGAAGGGAAUUAUUCGCAGUCUCCAAAGAUGGCAGGAGACACAGCAGUGUCCUGAAGCUAUGGCAGGGAAGAUUUAGGCUGGAUCACGCAUGGCAGGAUGGAAAAGGGAGGGGGGAAAAACAGAGAGAAUAUCUCUAAUGCAAGCGGACAAGGGGGCGAAGAGCAGAGGCGGCCAGGCAUGCGCGGGGGGCGAGCCAGACGCGAGGGAUCAGCCCCCCAGAUGGACGGUUUUCCAACCCGGCUCCGGACGGGAGCCGGACGGCUCCUCCCGCAYGGGGCGUCAGCGGUGCAGGGCGCGGGCUCCGCUCUCC
This 1032-nucleotide long non-coding RNA is filed under the name Dromaius novaehollandiae (emu). Its description in RNAcentral is "lncRNA (ENSDNVG00000001480.1)". The record is from RNAcentral. Lineage: Eukaryota; Metazoa; Chordata; Aves; Casuariiformes; Dromaiidae.